AUGCGUUCCUUCCCGCCCUUCUUGGGCACGACGACGGGGUUUGCCAGCCAUUCCGGGUAUCGGACUUCGCGGAUGACACCCGCCGCCUGUAGCUUGCGGGUUCCCUCGACGAUGAAGGACUGCUUCUCUGUGGACUGUCGUCGCGCCUUCUGCUUCACCGGGCGCACAUUGGGGCAUACCCUCAAGUGGUGCUCGAUUACUCCCUUGGGACCCGCACCAGCUGCUUGGGCUCCCAGGCGAAUACCUCCUUGUUCGCGCGCAGGAAUUUCACCAGUGCCUCUUCUUGUUCCGGGUCGAGGUUGGCGCCUAUGGUGA
RNAcentral lists this ribosomal RNA (315 nucleotides) under Triticum aestivum (bread wheat). RNAcentral describes it as "partial small subunit ribosomal RNA". The record is from RNAcentral. Lineage: Eukaryota; Viridiplantae; Streptophyta; Magnoliopsida; Poales; Poaceae.